Molecule: ribosomal RNA, 1211 nt
Filed under: metagenome
Description: bacterial SSU rRNA
Rfam family: Bacterial small subunit ribosomal RNA
Source: RNAcentral
GGGAUGGUCAGCCACACUGGGACUGAGACACUGCCCAGACUCCUACGGGAGGCUGCAGUCGAGAAUAUUUAGCAAUGGGCGAAAGCCUGACUAUGCGACGCCGCGUGAAGGAUGAAGGGUUUCGGCUCGUAAACUUCUUUUGUUAGGAAAGAAAAUUUUAAGUCUAACAGGCUUAAAACUGACGGUACCUGACGAAUAAGCCACGGCCAACUCCGUGCCAGCAGCCGCGGUAAUACGGAGGUGGCAAGCGUUACUCGGAAUUAUUGGGUGUAAAGGGCAAGUAGGUGGUUUGUUAAGUGAGGGGUGAAAUCUUCCGGCUCAAUCGGAAAAUUGCCUUUCAAACUGACAGACUCGAGGUAGGAAGAGGGAAAUGGAAUUCCAGGUGUAAGGGUGAAAUCUGUAGAUAUCUGGAAGAACACCAGCGGCGAAGGCGAUUUCCUGGUCCUAUCCUGACGCUAAAUUGCGAAAACUAGGGGAGCAAACAGAAUUAGAUACUCUGGUAGUCCUAGCCGUAAACGAUGAGUACUAGGUGUUGGGGUCUUAGACCUCAGUGCCGCAGCUAACGCAUUAAGUACUCCACCUGGGGACUACGAUCGCAAGGUUAAAACUCAAAGGAAUUGACGGGGGCCCGCACAAGCGGUGGAACAUGUGGUUUAAUUCGAUGAUACGCGAAAAACCUCACCAAGGCUUGACAUGUAGGAAGUAGUGAACUGAAAGGGGAACGAGUCGUCAAGUCCGACAACCUACACAGGUGCUGCAUGGCUGUCGUCAGCUCGUGUCGUGAGAUGAUGGGUUAAGUCCCGCAACGAGCGCAACCAUUUUCCCAUGUUGCCACUUCGUUUAUCAUUUUGGUAAACGAAAGCACUCUUGGGGUACUGCCUGGGAUAACCAGGAGGAAGGUGGAGAUGACGUCAAGUCAGUACGGCCCUUAUGCCUUGGGCUACACACGUGUUACAAUGGCUGAUACAAAGGGUUGCCAACCCGCGAGGGGGAGCUAAUCUCUAAAAAUCAGCCCCAGUUCAGAUAGGAGUCUGCAAUUCGACUUCUUGAAGCCGGAAUCGCUAGUAAUGGGAGAUCAGCACGCUCCCGUGAAUACGUUCCCGGGCCUUGUACACACCGCCCGUCAAGCGAUGGGAGCUGGGGGUACCCGAAGUCCUAUGUAGAUAGGCCGAAGGUAAAUCCGGUGACUGGCGCUAAGUCGUAACAAAGUA